This 24-nucleotide non-coding RNA is filed under the name Arabidopsis thaliana (thale cress). The record is from RNAcentral. Lineage: Eukaryota; Viridiplantae; Streptophyta; Magnoliopsida; Brassicales; Brassicaceae.
AAAUUAGUUUCAGACCAUAAAUGC